UAUUCCACUCCGGCUUCCUGCUUUAAUCCUAACCCCCGGUGAAUAGUUCCUACGGCUGUAAUCACGUUGAUUCUUACCUUGAGCUAGAUUGGUUUGAAUGAAUUCGCUGUUUAGUAUAUCGAAUGAAUAUUUAGGUGUCCUGCAGUUUAGCUUCUAAAUUUCAUUUGUUGUUGUUGCGAAGUUGUUAUGAGUAGCCCAAACCCUAACCCUGGGAGGUUAGACCCAGGAGGUAAGAGCCAGAUCCCAGCCAUUCUAAAGGAAGAUUGUGUUUACACCAGCUGUUAUUGUGAAGAAAAUAUAUGGAAACUUUGUGAAUACAUAAAGAACAGAAGACAACAUCCUCUGGAAGAAUGGUAUACUGUUUUCAUAUCAAACGACCAAAAGAUGGUGCCCAUUUGGAGUCAGCAGUCUGGCAGUGGAGAUCAGCCUGUAAUCUGGGUAAGUGAUUCUUUUGUAAAUCAAUAUUUAUAGCUACACUUUCAAUGGCAUAAGAAUUUUUCAGUCCUU
Molecule: non-coding RNA, 507 nt
Organism: Chiloscyllium plagiosum (whitespotted bambooshark)
Lineage: Eukaryota; Metazoa; Chordata; Chondrichthyes; Orectolobiformes; Hemiscylliidae
Source: RefSeq, a predicted model, not a curated record